Molecule: long non-coding RNA, 286 nt
Organism: Oncorhynchus keta (chum salmon)
Lineage: Eukaryota; Metazoa; Chordata; Actinopteri; Salmoniformes; Salmonidae
Exons: 3
Source: RefSeq, a predicted model, not a curated record
AUUCGGUGGUCCUCAGACCACGUGAGCGGCUCCAGGCCGCUGACCGGACUCAGUAGCUUUAUCACCGGAUCCCUCUUCACGACUGGCCCGAGUGCUGCCCAGGGAUCAUUCUCCCGUUCGGCUUCGUGGACCAGACCAUGCAUCCGCCCUCUCUUAGGUCAAGGAAAAGGAGAUCAGGCCUCUCCUGCAUCCCUCCAACCUGGUUACUGGCUGAUGACAGUAUGGUCUGAGUGACAGCGGAGGGCUGUGGGGGUCUUUACCAGGAUUCAAGGAAAGAAAAUACAAU